Molecule: ribosomal RNA, 758 nt
Filed under: bacterium enrichment culture clone B1-60
Lineage: Bacteria
Description: bacterial SSU rRNA
Rfam family: Bacterial small subunit ribosomal RNA
Source: RNAcentral
GAUGAACGCUAGCGAUAGGCCUAACACAUGCAAGUCGAGGGGCAGCACAUGAAGUAGCAAUACGGAUGGUGGCGACCGGCGCACGGGUGAGUAACGCGUAUGCAACCUACCUACAACAGGGGGAUAACCCGUUGAAAGACGGACUAAUACCCCCAUAAUACAGGGGUCCCGCAUGGGGAUAUUUGUUAAAGAUUAAUCGGUUGUAGAUGGGCAUGCGUUCCAUUAGCUGGUUGGUGAGGUAACGGCUCACCAAGGCAACGAUGGAUAGGGGAACUGAGAGGUUUAUCCCCCACACUGGUACUGAGACACGGACCAGACUCCUACGGGAGGCAGCAGUGAGGAAUAUUGGUCAAUGGACGCAAGUCUGAACCAGCCACGUCGCGUGAAGGAAGACGGCCCUACGGGUUGUAAACUUCUUUUGUAAGGGAAUAAAGUGAGUCACGUGUGACUUUUUGCAUGUACCUUACGAAUAAGGAUCGGCUAACUCCGUGCCAGCAGCCGCGGUAAUACGGAGGAUCCGAGCGUUAUCCGGAUUUAUUGGGUUUAAAGGGUGCGCAGGCGGGAGAUUAAGUCGGCGGUGAAAUUUUGCAGCUCAACUGUAAAAGUGCCAUCGAUACUGGUUUUCUUGAGUGUGGAUGAAGUAGGCGGAAUUUGUGGUGUAGCGGUGAAAUGCAUAGAUAUCACAAGGAACACCGAUUGCGCAGGCAGCUUACUAAACCAUAACUGACGCUCAUGCACGAAGGCGUGGGGAUCAAACA